AUAGCACGGGGCCGUUCUUUCUAAGCCCACACCUCUAACUAAACAACACUGCCUGCACAUACUACACAUGCUAAGUGGUUAGGUAUUGGUUUAAAGGCUUGUGCGACCUACGCAGGCGUCACCGUCAUUCUUGUCGAGGACUGCACCCACGCUGUAUUACUCAAUCAGCUACAAAUUUGUGCAACCCUACUACUUUUAACUUUUGCAACCCUAUACUAGCAGCGUGUAUAAUUUCAUCGUCGUCUGUCUGUUUCUCAUAGUUUUAAAAUAUGUGUUAAUGAUAACAUUCGUCAAUUAAAGUAAUGAAAUUGUAA
This is a long non-coding RNA of Melitaea cinxia (Glanville fritillary), 314 nucleotides long. RefSeq lists it as uncharacterized. NCBI's taxonomy places the organism in Eukaryota, Metazoa, Arthropoda, Insecta, Lepidoptera, Nymphalidae. The transcript has 2 exons. The record is from RefSeq and is a predicted model, not a curated record.